RNAcentral lists this ribosomal RNA (2930 nucleotides) under Escherichia coli. RNAcentral's name for it is "23S ribosomal RNA". It matches the Rfam family "Bacterial large subunit ribosomal RNA". Lineage: Bacteria; Pseudomonadati; Pseudomonadota; Gammaproteobacteria; Enterobacterales; Enterobacteriaceae. The record is from RNAcentral.
GGGUUGUGAGGUUAAGCGACUAAGCGUACACGGUGGAUGCCCUGGCAGUCAGAGGCGAUGAAGGACGUGCUAAUCUGCGAUAAGCGUCGGUAAGGUGAUAUGAACCGUUAUAACCGGCGAUUUCCGAAUGGGGAAACCCAGUGUGUUUCGACACACUAUCAUUAACUGAAUCCAUAGGUUAAUGAGGCGAACCGGGGGAACUGAAACAUCUAAGUACCCCGAGGAAAAGAAAUCAACCGAGAUUCCCCCAGUAGCGGCGAGCGAACGGGGAGGAGCCCAGAGCCUGAAUCAGUGUGUGUGUUAGUGGAAGCGUCUGGAAAGGCGCGCGAUACAGGGUGACAGCCCCGUACACAAAAAUGCACAUGCUGUGAGCUCGAUGAGUAGGGCGGGACACGUGGUAUCCUGUCUGAAUAUGGGGGGACCAUCCUCCAAGGCUAAAUACUCCUGACUGACCGAUAGUGAACCAGUACCGUGAGGGAAAGGCGAAAAGAACCCCGGCGAGGGGAGUGAAAAAGAACCUGAAACCGUGUACGUACAAGCAGUGGGAGCACGCUUAGGCGUGUGACUGCGUACCUUUUGUAUAAUGGGUCAGCGACUUAUAUUCUGUAGCAAGGUUAACCGAAUAGGGGAGCCGAAGGGAAACCGAGUCUUAACUGGGCGUUAAGUUGCAGGGUAUAGACCCGAAACCCGGUGAUCUAGCCAUGGGCAGGUUGAAGGUUGGGUAACACUAACUGGAGGACCGAACCGACUAAUGUUGAAAAAUUAGCGGAUGACUUGUGGCUGGGGGUGAAAGGCCAAUCAAACCGGGAGAUAGCUGGUUCUCCCCGAAAGCUAUUUAGGUAGCGCCUCGUGAACUCAUCUCCGGGGGUAGAGCACUGUUUCGGCAAGGGGGUCAUCCCGACUUACCAACCCGAUGCAAACUGCGAAUACCGGAGAAUGUUAUCACGGGAGACACACGGCGGGUGCUAACGUCCGUCGUGAAGAGGGAAACAACCCAGACCGCCAGCUAAGGUCCCAAAGUCAUGGUUAAGUGGGAAACGAUGUGGGAAGGCCCAGACAGCCAGGAUGUUGGCUUAGAAGCAGCCAUCAUUUAAAGAAAGCGUAAUAGCUCACUGGUCGAGUCGGCCUGCGCGGAAGAUGUAACGGGGCUAAACCAUGCACCGAAGCUGCGGCAGCGACGCUUAUGCGUUGUUGGGUAGGGGAGCGUUCUGUAAGCCUGUGAAGGUGUGCUGUGAGGCAUGCUGGAGGUAUCAGAAGUGCGAAUGCUGACAUAAGUAACGAUAAAGCGGGUGAAAAGCCCGCUCGCCGGAAGACCAAGGGUUCCUGUCCAACGUUAAUCGGGGCAGGGUGAGUCGACCCCUAAGGCGAGGCCGAAAGGCGUAGUCGAUGGGAAACAGGUUAAUAUUCCUGUACUUGGUGUUACUGCGAAGGGGGGACGGAGAAGGCUAUGUUGGCCGGGCGACGGUUGUCCCGGUUUAAGCGUGUAGGCUGGUUUUCCAGGCAAAUCCGGAAAAUCAAGGCUGAGGCGUGAUGACGAGGCACUACGGUGCUGAAGCAACAAAUGCCCUGCUUCCAGGAAAAGCCUCUAAGCAUCAGGUAACAUCAAAUCGUACCCCAAACCGACACAGGUGGUCAGGUAGAGAAUACCAAGGCGCUUGAGAGAACUCGGGUGAAGGAACUAGGCAAAAUGGUGCCGUAACUUCGGGAGAAGGCACGCUGAUAUGUAGGUGAAGUCCCUCGCGGAUGGAGCUGAAAUCAGUCGAAGAUACCAGCUGGCUGCAACUGUUUAUUAAAAACACAGCACUGUGCAAACACGAAAGUGGACGUAUACGGUGUGACGCCUGCCCGGUGCCGGAAGGUUAAUUGAUGGGGUCAGCGCAAGCGAAGCUCUUGAUCGAAGCCCCGGUAAACGGCGGCCGUAACUAUAACGGUCCUAAGGUAGCGAAAUUCCUUGUCGGGUAAGUUCCGACCUGCACGAAUGGCGUAAUGAUGGCCAGGCUGUCUCCACCCGAGACUCAGUGAAAUUGAACUCGCUGUGAAGAUGCAGUGUACCCGCGGCAAGACGGAAAGACCCCGUGAACCUUUACUAUAGCUUGACACUGAACAUUGAGCCUUGAUGUGUAGGAUAGGUGGGAGGCUUAGAAGUGUGGACGCCAGUCUGCAUGGAGCCGACCUUGAAAUACCACCCUUUAAUGUUUGAUGUUCUAACGUUGACCCGUAAUCCGGGUUGCGGACAGUGUCUGGUGGGUAGUUUGACUGGGGCGGUCUCCUCCUAAAGAGUAACGGAGGAGCACGAAGGUUGGCUAAUCCUGGUCGGACAUCAGGAGGUUAGUGCAAUGGCAUAAGCCAGCUUGACUGCGAGCGUGACGGCGCGAGCAGGUGCGAAAGCAGGUCAUAGUGAUCCGGUGGUUCUGAAUGGAAGGGCCAUCGCUCAACGGAUAAAAGGUACUCCGGGGAUAACAGGCUGAUACCGCCCAAGAGUUCAUAUCGACGGCGGUGUUUGGCACCUCGAUGUCGGCUCAUCACAUCCUGGGGCUGAAGUAGGUCCCAAGGGUAUGGCUGUUCGCCAUUUAAAGUGGUACGCGAGCUGGGUUUAGAACGUCGUGAGACAGUUCGGUCCCUAUCUGCCGUGGGCGCUGGAGAACUGAGGGGGGCUGCUCCUAGUACGAGAGGACCGGAGUGGACGCAUCACUGGUGUUCGGGUUGUCAUGCCAAUGGCACUGCCCGGUAGCUAAAUGCGGAAGAGAUAAGUGCUGAAAGCAUCUAAGCACGAAACUUGCCCCGAGAUGAGUUCUCCCUGACCCUUUAAGGGUCCUGAAGGAACGUUGAAGACGACGACGUUGAUAGGCCGGGUGUGUAAGCGCAGCGAUGCGUUGAGCUAACCGGUACUAAUGAACCGUGAGGCUUAACCUUACAACGCCGAAGCUGUU